Cryptotermes secundus is the source of this 107-nucleotide small nuclear RNA. NCBI's taxonomy places the organism in Eukaryota, Metazoa, Arthropoda, Insecta, Blattodea, Kalotermitidae. The record is from RefSeq and is a predicted model, not a curated record.
GUACUCGCUUCGUCGGUACAUAUACGAAAACUGGAACGAUAAAGAGAAGAUUAGCAUUGUCCCUGCGCAAGGACGACACGCUUAAGCAUGAAGCGUCCCGUAUUAAG